Molecule: transfer RNA, 72 nt
Filed under: Fasciola hepatica (liver fluke)
Lineage: Eukaryota; Metazoa; Platyhelminthes; Trematoda; Plagiorchiida; Fasciolidae
Rfam family: tRNA
About the family: Transfer RNA (tRNA) molecules are approximately 80 nucleotides in length. Their secondary structure includes four short double-helical elements and three loops (D, anti-codon, and T loops).
Source: Rfam by way of RNAcentral
GGUCCCAUGGUGUAUCGGUUAUCACUCUGGACUUUUAAUCCAGCAAACCGAGUUCGAAUCUCGGUGGGCCUC